GGUGCCGGCUGCAUUGGGAGCUCAGAUUCAUAAGCACAUGUUGGGGCUGAAUUAAGAGUUCUUUUGAAUCCAUACCUUCAAGACAAUUUAUCAUGAUACACAGUGAAACAACAGAAAUUCCAUAGUAAAUGUUUAGACAGUAAAUCUGAUUCCUCUGUCUGUGUCUCCACAGGUUUGAAAGUGAGAGAGAGAGAAAGCGUGCAGCAGCCAAAGGCCUAUAAAAGGCGGGGUUGAGGUAAGUUUUAACAGCCAGAAUCACUAUGUCUAUGAAGACCCAACCACGAGAUGAAUGAUAAGCUAUGAUUUGAAAACAAAAAAGCACAGGCCACAUGUUGGAGCAUUUUGAAAGUUGAGUCAAAGAAGAAACCACAGUCAAGCAACACUAUUUUCAUGAUGUUCUCCUACAUUUCCUUUAUGGAACUCAUUGUGUGGUCCUGAAGAAUUUGGAAAAGAAGCAAGACCUUGAAAGUGGUGAACAAGGAAAGAAAAAGCCUGUCUAAUCCUCCUUGCUGCUUCUACAGCCACAAAAAGCCUGCAGGGGGAACAGGUCCUGGUUCCCACCUUAUGAACUUCCUCACCUUCCUACAAAUGUGUUAUGUACAACAUUGGUCAUUCUCCACAUUCCAAAUCUCAGGAUUAGCUUCAGUUUGUUCCCCCCUACAUUCUCCCUUCAGCAGCACGUAGUUAAGAAGUACAUCUCACCUUUUUGAUAAUCAGACAUUUAUCUGUUUCUCCACUCAAUUCAUAAGUUACCUUCCCCCGACAAAAUUAAAACAAAAAUGGACAAGCCUCUUCACACAGGGUCACAGCCAUGCUGACGGGUGAAGCUGAGAGCAGCCAAGGAGAAAGUCCCUGAACCGUCUGGAGACCGGCAGAACGCGGACCACCUCCGAUGCAUCUCCAGCUUUAUACUCUAAUCACAAAGCACACUGAGGGCACGGUUCGUCCUCAUACCGCAUUGAUAUGAAAUUAGAAGUUCUACAGCUCGGCGCCCAUCAUGACUUGGCUGCUUUCUAAUUGUGUGAUGCUGGUGACCCAAGUCUCCAAGACUUAAUUAGCUCAGUGGGGAUAGUAAAACUUCCUGGCCCUUUGUCAGAUCUCCUACAAGAACCAUGUCACAGGAUAUGCCUCCUAAAGACUGCAGUUUGCUGUCUUAUCAUUGGCCCCAGAGCCGACUGCUGGGGAGAGCAGCCCGUUGGUAGAAGAAAUCUGGAAACAGGCAGUGGAAAGCAUAUUGGCAUCUGAGCACAGAGCCUGCCGUGUGCUUCUACCCUUCUUCAAAGUUCCUCCUGCUCAGUGUCAUCUGAGCCUCUCCCAGCGGCAGCAAAUGUGGGGACGGCGGGUGAAGAUGGCGUGGGUGGCCUCAAAGCCUGGCAGGUGAAUGGAAUUUCUCAAGCUACCGGUAUUUAACUCUUUUAAAACACAUGUGAAAUGAAGUCAGCUCCUAAUUAUGUGGGCUCAUGGAGGGGAACAGCCAGUCAAUCCAUCAACAAGCAGGCUCUGAAUCCCUGCUGGGCAUCAGCCUCAUCUGGAAUUCAAAGUCAUUCACAGUGAGCUUUUGGGAUUCCCUCCCUGGUUGUACACACUCCCUUCCAGGUAUGCUUUUCUGAGGCUAAUAAUGAAAUUAGUCACAUGAUGGCAUGGGCUAUGGGAACUAGAUCAGAAUUUUCUGGGCCAGUCUGGGGUUGAAAAUGUGAUACAAACAAUCCACAAAAUGAACAUUCCAACCUCAAAAAGCAGGAGGCCAUUUUACUAGGUUUUGUUUUUGUUUUUGUUUUUUGAGAUGGAGUCUCACUCUGUC
This 1801-nucleotide long non-coding RNA is filed under the name Homo sapiens (human). Its description in RNAcentral is "HSALNT0026025". The record is from RNAcentral. Lineage: Eukaryota; Metazoa; Chordata; Mammalia; Primates; Hominidae.